CCUACGGGCGGCAGCAGUGGGGAAUAUUGCACACUGGGGGAAACCCUGAUGCAGCGACGCCGCGUGAGUGAAGAAGUAUUUCGGUACGUAAAGCUCUAUCAGCAGGGAAGAAAAUGACGGUACCUGACUAAGAAGCCCCGGCUAACUACGUGCCAGCAGCCGCGGUAAUACGUAGGGGGCAAGCGUUAUCCGGAUUUACUGGGUGUAAAGGGAGCGUAGACGGCAGCGCAAGUCUGGAGUGAAAUCCCAUGGCUUAACCAUGGAACUGCUUUGGAAACUGUGCAGCUAGAGUGCAGGAGAGGUAAGCGGAAUUCCUAGUGUAGCGGUGAAAUGCGUAGAUAUUAGGAGGAACACCAGUGGCGAAGGCGGCUUACUGGACUGUAACUGACGUUGAGGCUCGAAAGCGUGGGGAGCAAACAGGAUUAGAUACCCCUGUAGUC
RNAcentral lists this ribosomal RNA (440 nucleotides) under uncultured bacterium. RNAcentral describes it as "partial 16S ribosomal RNA". It matches the Rfam family "Bacterial small subunit ribosomal RNA", at positions 338 to 795 of the family's 1533-position model. The record is from RNAcentral.